Long non-coding RNA from Episyrphus balteatus (marmalade hoverfly), 1209 nucleotides. RefSeq lists it as uncharacterized. The record is from RefSeq and is a predicted model, not a curated record. The transcript has 3 exons. Lineage: Eukaryota; Metazoa; Arthropoda; Insecta; Diptera; Syrphidae.
AGUUUUUAACACAAGAUAUACCUAAACAAAUUUAAAGUGAAAAAAUCCCUUAGAGGAUAUAAAAUAUGGAAUGGAGUGCUUGUUUCUAUACCUAAUACAUUGUAAUGCCAUAUGCAUGGAUAGGGGUCGCUGCCUUAUUCGUUUUUCAGUGCGAGUCCGGUUCCGCAGCUGUAAAUAAAUAAGCUUGUUGAUAACAGCCAUCAAAUGAAAAUAAAAUGGAGGCAUGCACUCAUCGAAAAACUUAAAGAAACUAGAGCCCUCUAAAAAAGCUUCACGGAACUAACAGCACAAGCACUCCAUAUGUAUAUUAUAUCCUCUAAGAAAAAUCCUGCUUUUGGAAUCAGAAAAAAUGCACAGGACAAUGAAAAAAUUGAAUUGUGUAAAAGUUCUGGCAAUGCUGAUAUAGAUAUUGCACAUCCGUUGAAUGCAAGAUGAAACUCUUUAAAAGUGAAUUUUGCGUUUCCCAUUUUAUGUGAUGUCGGGUGAUGUCAUUGGCUGAUGGAACGAUGAUGUGAGGAUCUCUUUGUAAAAAGUUUGCAAAAGGCAAUUUGUGUGAGGGAAAAAGGUGAAAGGUCAUUAAAUUAUCUCUGGCCUCUCGCGAAGAUUAACAAAGUGUCGUCAAUGCGUCAACUGGCAAGUGUUCGUUACAUUUCUGAUUCAUUGGUAUAAGGAAUAUAGCAACUUGCAACAUGUAUUGAUGCACGAACGAAACCUAUAUAAAUAUAUAUUCAUAUACUUGUUGAUAGCCAGUUAAACAUCCAUGCACCCUUGCAAUAGCAAUACGUUACCAAAAUAGACUGAUGAAGCGACUUCAGUGAAUGUGAUAAAUGUUUGUGUUGACACUAUCGAUUGGGAACGAAAUUGCUUCAAGAGAGUUUCAGAGGACACACAUGGACGGAUCAUCAUGAUGAAACUCGGGUGUGUGUUGAGUGUGCAGCUGCGAAAAAAUUCGAUUUAAAAAAGUGACAAACUAUUGGUAGUUUUUAUUAGCAAGGAGAUGAACACAAAAAAAUUUAUAUCAUUCAGCCAGGAAAAUGGGGAUUUUUUUAAGCCCCGGGUUGUGUUUGUUGUCCUUGUCAAUGUGGUCACGCAGACGAAUGGCUUCGGUUUGUCUGCAUUGCUUUUGAAGUCCAGUAUAUUUUUUUUGUUUAUACCAAAUUUUAUACAUACAGCAUUUCCAUGGAUUUUUAGCUAUAGAUUGUAUGAAAA